GUCAACGGUCAAACUACGCAUGUACAAUACCGGUUCUCGUCCGAUCACCGAAGUCAAGAUGCGUUGGGCACGGUUAGUACUUAGAUGGGUGUUCUCAUUUUUUAAUAGUUCGUGUUAUUGUACAUU
This 126-nucleotide ribosomal RNA is filed under the name Habropoda laboriosa. Lineage: Eukaryota; Metazoa; Arthropoda; Insecta; Hymenoptera; Apidae. The record is from RNAcentral.